Molecule: ribosomal RNA, 301 nt
Filed under: uncultured bacterium
Lineage: Bacteria
Description: partial 16S ribosomal RNA
Rfam family: Bacterial small subunit ribosomal RNA
Source: RNAcentral
CAGCAGCCGCGGUAAUACAGAGGAUGCAAGCGUUAUCCGGAAUGAUUGGGCGUAAAGCGUCUGUAGGUGGCUUUUCAAGUCCGCCGUCAAAUCCCAAGGCUCAACCUUGGACAGGCGGUGGAAACUACCAAGCUGGGGUACGGUAGGGGCAGAGGGAAUUUCCGGUGGAGCGGUGAAAUGCGUUGAGAUCAGAAAGAACACCAACGGCGAAAGCACUCUGCUGGGCCGACACUGACACUGAGAGACGAAAGCUAGGGGAGCAAAUGGGAUUAGAUACCCGUGUAGUCCCUGUCUCUUAUAC